RNAcentral lists this long non-coding RNA (209 nucleotides) under Mytilus galloprovincialis (Mediterranean mussel). The record is from RNAcentral. Lineage: Eukaryota; Metazoa; Mollusca; Bivalvia; Mytilida; Mytilidae.
GGCCGAGUCAAUGGGUCCCCACUUAUGAAAAUUUCUGGAUCAACCACUGCUUAGUUCUAGUUAUCUAAGGUCCUAGUGUGAAAUAUAACCAAUAGGAAUUGGUCUUUUUAAACACUUCUACAUAGGCCUACAUGUAUACGUUUUGUCAAGGGUUGGUUCAUUACCGACCGUGCAAGGGCUGUAUAGCCAGUCAAGGUCGUUAAAAACUU